UACAGAGGUCCCGAGCGUUGUUCGGAUUCACUGGGCGUAAAGGGUGCGUAGGUGGCUUGAAAAGUUUGAUGUGAAAGCUCAGGGCUUAACCCUGAAAUGGCAUUGAAUACUGUCGAGCUGGAGGUUUGGAGGGGGAACUGGAAUUCUUGGUGUAGCAGUGAAAUGCGUAGAUAUCAAGAGGAACACCAGUGGCGAAGGCGAGUCCCUGGACAACACCUGACACUGAGGCACGAAAGCUAGGGGAGCAAACAGG
Molecule: ribosomal RNA, 253 nt
Filed under: uncultured bacterium
Lineage: Bacteria
Description: partial 16S ribosomal RNA
Rfam family: Bacterial small subunit ribosomal RNA
Source: RNAcentral